This 80-nucleotide unclassified non-coding RNA is filed under the name Yersinia enterocolitica (type O:5,27) str. YE149/02. The record is from RNAcentral. Lineage: Bacteria; Pseudomonadati; Pseudomonadota; Gammaproteobacteria; Enterobacterales; Yersiniaceae.
UACUGGCUGCUCAUAUUUUCCGCAAGGAAUGUGAGGGCUUAAUAACUAAAAUAAUGAAAAUUCCUCUUUGACUGGCCGAU